Molecule: non-coding RNA, 21 nt
Filed under: Arabidopsis thaliana (thale cress)
Lineage: Eukaryota; Viridiplantae; Streptophyta; Magnoliopsida; Brassicales; Brassicaceae
Source: RNAcentral
UCCUUUAAGUUUCAGCCUUGC